GCCGACUAUUUUCGGGACCUCGAUAACAUUUCGAUAUAUGACUGGGGCGGUGCCACCUACCCUUAUUUCUUAAGGAUGAUGGACCGUCUGGCUUUGGGCGAUCCCAAAGUGUACGGGGCUUCCAAAAUUCUGCAGCCUUGGGCAUAUGAGCAUCUAGACUUCCUAUCUCUAGCUCGGGUGGAUCAAGACCGUGAUGACUUUCCUCUUCCCCAAAAAUGGGGUUUAGGUGUGACCCCCCGUCUUCAUCCUAUUUCAAGGAGAGACAUUGUGAAUCAGCUCUCUGAGGUGAAUUGGACUCCAUUCCAGUCUGUGACCUUCCUUUUUGUAGCUCACCGAGAUGAGGCCAGGCGACUAACAGGUCUUCGCAUCUUAUUCCAAGGUCCCAGUGGUUCAGCGUGGUACCUCAGGUAGAGAGUCACUAGAUAGUUGGUUAACUCAGAUGGUCCCUUAGUUCCAUAUCAUCCUCCCUCCGUUCAUGCAUAAUCCUAACGCGAUGCCCGAGAACGAGUUCCGGGCGACCUUAGUUGGCAUGACUGCAGAUCGCUUCACUGAUCCGAUGGCGAGUUAUCAGGAGUUCCUCUAGCAGGAGACCUUGUGCGUGCCACUGACAUCUGACGACCCUCGAGCACUUACUCCGAACCUUUCUUAAGCAUCUUGAUUUCACAUUUUGUGAGUGCUUAACCUUGUUUCCUUUUCCAGUAUGAUAGACCGGUCAUCUUUGUUGGCCGGAACAUUCCCAGGUCGGUCGAUUCCCCCACAGAGGGUUCCAUGCACAUGAGCAUCGGGUUGGUUCAUAACAUGGCCGAGCAUUAUUUCUCUAUUCCUGGUUUUCCCGGGUGGACUUACCAUGAUGCGUGGAAUCCUGCAGCCCAGGUCAUGUUACCAAGAACAACAGUGGCUCUUGAUACUGAGUCUCCCCAUUCCUUUUGACUUAUUUCUCCUUCCGUCUACACCGAAUGCCAAUAAUGAUUCAAAGCCUGGAUACCUGCCUGUACCACCAGAUGGAGCAGAAUUGAGACAUGGUCAAGAGGGGUGGGCCCUUGUUGAUAUGCGAGAGAUUUUGAUGAAGGCUCCCAACUCAAGUGGGAAUGAUCUCAUCCGCUUGCUCCUCUUCUUUGGAGAAUCUAGGCCUUUGAUGACACCUCAAAAACCUGGCACACUUCUUAAGAAUCUCUAAAAAUUUUGGCAAAACUUUCACAUGUAAAAAUGAAAGUUGGGCCUAAUUAGGCAGAAUUUUGACUUCAGAUCAAAUGUCAGGCUAGGACAUGUCAAAUGGAAAAGUGGGCCUCUUCUUUCUGUGCACUAUCCCAUAGCGUGGAUUUUGAGCUCAUUUUUUGCUCAUAAAUAUUCAAGAUUUGCAAGGAAGGAUUUUAUGUCCAAUUGCAAACUGGGGGUGUUCUGGAAAUCCUUAUUUAUGCCAUUCACGCACCAUCAGAGAAUACUUAGAAUCAAUUUUUCAAUAUAAA
Macadamia integrifolia is the source of this 1466-nucleotide long non-coding RNA. RefSeq lists it as uncharacterized. NCBI's taxonomy places the organism in Eukaryota, Viridiplantae, Streptophyta, Magnoliopsida, Proteales, Proteaceae. The record is from RefSeq and is a predicted model, not a curated record. The transcript is spliced from 5 exons.